CGUAGGGUGCGAGCGUUAAUCGGAAUUACUGGGCGUAAAGCGUGCGCAGGCGGCCUGAUAAGUCAGAUGUGAAAUCCCCGAGCUCAACUUGGGAACUGCGUUUGAAACUAUCAAGCUAGAAUAUGUCAGAGGGGGGUAGAAUUCCACGUGUAGCAGUGAAAUGCGUAGAGAUGUGGAGGAAUACCAAUGGCGAAGGCAGCCCCCUGGGAUAAUAUUGACGCUCAUGCACGAAAGCGUGGGGAGCAAACAGGA
RNAcentral lists this ribosomal RNA (252 nucleotides) under uncultured Methylotenera sp. RNAcentral describes it as "partial 16S ribosomal RNA". It matches the Rfam family "Bacterial small subunit ribosomal RNA", at positions 526 to 777 of the family's 1533-position model. Lineage: Bacteria; Pseudomonadati; Pseudomonadota; Betaproteobacteria; Nitrosomonadales; Methylophilaceae. The record is from RNAcentral.